CAAGGACAUGGGCAAAGGGCGCCCCGUCGUUCUGAUCCAUGGCUGGCCUCUGACAGGUGACAUGUGGGAAUUCCAGACUCUCGCCCUUGU
RNAcentral lists this transfer RNA (90 nucleotides) under Gluconobacter wancherniae NBRC 103581. Its description in RNAcentral is "tRNA-Gln". The record is from RNAcentral. Lineage: Bacteria; Pseudomonadati; Pseudomonadota; Alphaproteobacteria; Acetobacterales; Acetobacteraceae.